Long non-coding RNA from Esox lucius (northern pike), 472 nucleotides. NCBI's taxonomy places the organism in Eukaryota, Metazoa, Chordata, Actinopteri, Esociformes, Esocidae. The record is from Ensembl.
CGGGAAGCAGAGGCAUUACAGCCACCACUUUCUGGCAGAGGACUAGCGGUAUACAUUCAUACGCUGAGCUGUGCCAGCGAAGCCUCGGCGUCCCCGGUUCAGAUUAGUUUUGAGGAAUGUGGCGCGAAGGCGUGCAAGGAUAAGGUAAGUGGCGGUUUAGAAUGCGGUGUGUGGGCUGCCGUGUGUUUGAGGCCUUUCGGUCGGAGACGAAGAUAAAACACUGCCAGCGUGUUCAUUUCCCCUUUCCAGUCCAGCGCGGAUGGUAUUCAAACCCAUAGGCAGGCCACAGGGAGAUGUUGACUGUGACAGGUGCUGCAUGGCUUCUGGGUCGCAGUGUCGCCUAUCUCCUCCCCUGGCUCCUAAACCUCAUUCAUUCCUCUCAUCUGGAUUGGAAUGCAGCCCGUAGACACUUAAUAAUCAGAUCUGGAACACUUCUGAUAUCAGACUGACGUCCCUCCUCCGAAGCACCCGC